CGUAGGAUCCGAGCGUUGUCCGGAUUUACUGGGUGUAAAGGGUGCGCAGGCGGACUGGUAAGUCAGAGGUGAAAUCUCGUCGCUCAACGACGAAACUGCCUUUGAUACUAUCAGUCUUGAAUCCGGUAGAGAUCUGUGGAAUUCCGAGUGUAGCAGUGAAAUGUGUAGAUAUUCGGAAGAACACCAGUGGCGAAGGCAGCAGAUUGGGCCGGUAUUGACGCUCAGGCACGAAAGCAUGGGGAUCAAACAGGAUUAGAGACCCUGGUAGUCCAUGCCCUAAACGAUGUUCACUUGAUGUCUGCCCUCAGGGUAGGUGUCGAAGCUAACGCGAUAAGUGAACCACCUGGGGAGUACGCUCGCAAGGGUG
Molecule: ribosomal RNA, 367 nt
Filed under: uncultured organism
Description: bacterial SSU rRNA
Rfam family: Bacterial small subunit ribosomal RNA
Source: RNAcentral